Molecule: ribosomal RNA, 253 nt
Filed under: uncultured bacterium
Lineage: Bacteria
Description: partial 16S ribosomal RNA
Rfam family: Bacterial small subunit ribosomal RNA
Source: RNAcentral
UACGUAGGGACCAAGCGUUGUCCGGAAUUAUUGGGCGUAAAGAGCUCGUAGGCGGCUGUCCACGUCGGAUGUGAAAGCUCGGGGCUCAACCCUGAGAGGCCAUUCGAUACGGGACGGCUAGAGGUAGGUAGGGGAGAUUGGAAUUCCUGGUGUAGCGGUGAAAUGCGUAGAUAUCGAGAGGAACACCUGCGGCGAAGGCGGGUUGCUGGGCUGAUACUGACGCUGAGGCGCGAAAGCCAGGGGAGCGAACGGG